Molecule: non-coding RNA, 887 nt
Filed under: Enchelycore lichenosa
Lineage: Eukaryota; Metazoa; Chordata; Actinopteri; Anguilliformes; Muraenidae
Description: partial 12S rRNA
Rfam family: Bacterial small subunit ribosomal RNA
Source: RNAcentral
ACCCCUGUGAGAAUGCCCUUUACCUCCAACAGGAAAAAAGGAGCAGGCAUCAGGCACACAACAGUAGCCCAAGACGCCUUGCUUAGCCACACCCCCAAGGGAAAUCAGCAGUGACAAACAUUAAGCAAUAAGCGAAAGCUUGACUUAGUUAGGGUUAAAAGGGCCGGUAAAACUCGUGCCAGCAACCGCGGUUAUACGAGGGGCCCAAAUUGACGCAUCACGGCGUAAAGUGUGAUUAGAGACACUCUUAAACUAGAGCCAAAUACCCCUUAUGCAGUCAUACGCCAUGGGGGUCAAGAAGCCCAACAACGAAAGUGGUUCUAUAAAUCUUGAACUCACGACAGCUAGGAUACAAACUGGGAUUAGAUACCCCACUAUGCCCAGCCUUAAACCAAGGCGAUAGUGAUACAAACUUCGCCCGCCAGGGAACUACGAGCCUCAGCUUAAAACCCAAAGGACUUGGCGGUGCCUCAAACCCACCUAGAGGAGCCUGUCCUAUAACCGAUAAUCCCCGUUAAACCUCACCCUCUCUUGUCAUUUCCGCCUAUAUACCGCCGUCGCCAGUUUACCCUUUGAGGGGAUCACAGUAAGCAAAACGGGCAACACCCAGCACGUCAGGUCGAGGUGUAGCGAAUGAGAGGGAAAGAGAUGGGCUACAUUUUCUGGCAACAGAAUACCACGAAAAGCGUAAUGAAAUAAUACGGAAUCGAAGGUGGAUUUAGCAGUAAAAAGAAAAAAGAGAGUUCUUUUGAAACCGGCCCUGAGGCGCGUACACACCGCCCGUCACUCUCCUCGGAUAAAAAACGACAAUACAUAAAAAUAUUAAGAAAAAGAGAGGAGGCAAGUCGUAACAUGGUAAGUGUACCGGAAGGUGUACUUGGAAAAAU